This 254-nucleotide ribosomal RNA is filed under the name uncultured bacterium. Its description in RNAcentral is "partial 16S ribosomal RNA". It matches the Rfam family "Bacterial small subunit ribosomal RNA", at positions 524 to 777 of the family's 1533-position model. The record is from RNAcentral.
UACGUAGGUGGCAAGCGUUGUCCGGAUUUACUGGGCGUAAAGAGCGCGCAGGCGGUCGUUCAAGUCGCGUGUGAAAGCCCCCGGCUCAACUGGGGAGGGUCACGCGAUACUGAUCGACUCGAAGGCAGGAGAGGGUAGUGGAAUUCCAGGUGUAGCGGUGAAAUGCGUAGAUAUCUGGAGGAACACCGGUGGCGAAGGCGGCAUCCUGGACCGGCAUUGACGCUGAGGCGCGAAAGCCAGGGGAGCAAAGCGGG